CCUACGGGUGGCAGCAGUGGGGAAUAUUGCGCAAUGGGCGAAACCCUGACCCAGCAACGCCGCGUGAGUGAAGAAGUCUUUCGGUAUGUAAACCUCUAUCGUCAGGGAAGAAUAUGACAGUACCUCUGUAGAAUACCCCGGCUAACUACGUGCCAGCCGCCGCGGUAAUACGCAGGGGGCGAGCGUUUUCCGGAUUUACUGUGUGUAAAGGGGGCGUAGACGGCGGUGCAAGUCUGGAGUGAAAGGCGGUGGCUCAACCCCCGGACUGCACUGGAAACUGUACUGCUGGAGUGCAGGAGAGGCAAGUGGAAUUCCUAGUGUAGCGGUGAAAUGCGUAGAUAUUAGGAGGAACACCAGUGGCGAAGGCGGUUUUCUGGACUGUAACUGACGUUGAGGCGCGAAAGCGUGGGGAGCAAACAGGAUUAGAUACCCGAGUAGUC
Molecule: ribosomal RNA, 440 nt
Filed under: uncultured bacterium
Lineage: Bacteria
Description: partial 16S ribosomal RNA
Rfam family: Bacterial small subunit ribosomal RNA
Source: RNAcentral